This 28-nucleotide non-coding RNA is filed under the name Homo sapiens (human). The record is from RNAcentral. Lineage: Eukaryota; Metazoa; Chordata; Mammalia; Primates; Hominidae.
GACAUUGCUUGGUCAUGAUGUGAAAUGC